UCCUACGGGUGGCUGCAGUGGGGAAUAUUGGGCAAUGGGCGAAAGCCUGACCCAGCGACGCCGCGUGGGUGAUGAAGGCCUUCGGGUUGUAAAGCCCUUUCGUGCGGAAAGAACAGUCCCGUAGUGAAUAUCUACGGGAUUUGACGGUACCGCAGGAAGAAGCACCGGCUAACUCCGUGCCAGCAGCCGCGGUAAUACGGAGGGUGCAAGCGUUGUUCGGAAUUAUUGGGCGUAAAGGGCGCGUAGGUGGUUGUGAUAGGCAGAUGUGAAAUCCUCUGGCUCAACUGGAGAACUGCAUCUGAAACUUCAUAACUCGAGUACAGGAGAGGGAAACGGAAUUCCCGGUGUAGAGGUGAAAUUCGUAGAUAUCGGGAGGAACACCAGUGGCGAAGGCGGUUUCCUGGCCUGAUACUGACACUGAGGCGCGAAAGCGUGGGGAGCAAACAGGAUUAGAUACCCUAGUAGUC
Molecule: ribosomal RNA, 467 nt
Filed under: uncultured Syntrophorhabdaceae bacterium
Lineage: Bacteria; Pseudomonadati; Thermodesulfobacteriota; Syntrophorhabdia; Syntrophorhabdales; Syntrophorhabdaceae
Description: bacterial SSU rRNA
Rfam family: Bacterial small subunit ribosomal RNA
Source: RNAcentral